GACGAACGCUGGCGGCGUGCUUAACACAUGCAAGUCGAACGGAAAGGCCCUGCUUUUGUGGGGUGCUCGAGUGGCGAACGGGUGAGUAACACGUGAGUAACCUGCCCUUGACUUUGGGAUAACUUCAGGAAACUGGGGCUAAUACCGGAUAGGAGCUCCUGCUGCAUGGUGGGGGUUGGAAAGUUUCGGCGGUUGGGGAUGGACUCGCGGCUUAUCAGCUUGUGGGUGGGGUAGUGGCUUACCAAGGCUUUGACGGGUAGCCGGCCUGAGAGGUUGACCGGCCACAUUGGGACUGAGAUACGGCCCAGCCUCCUACGGGAGGCAGCAGUGGGGAAUAUUGCACAAUGGGCGGAAGCCUGAUGCAGCAACGCCGCGUGCGGGAUGACGGCCUUCGGGUUGUAAACCGCUUUCGCCUGUGACGAAGCGUGAGUGACGGUAAUGGGUAAAGAAGCACCGGCUAACUACGUG
This 468-nucleotide ribosomal RNA is filed under the name uncultured bacterium. Its description in RNAcentral is "partial 16S ribosomal RNA". It matches the Rfam family "Bacterial small subunit ribosomal RNA", at positions 28 to 507 of the family's 1533-position model. The record is from RNAcentral.